Molecule: transfer RNA, 69 nt
Filed under: Trichopygomyia trichopyga
Lineage: Eukaryota; Metazoa; Arthropoda; Insecta; Diptera; Psychodidae
Description: tRNA-Gln
Source: RNAcentral
UAUAUUUUGGUGUAAGAUGCAUAAAAAUUUUUGAUAUUUUAGGAAAUAGUUUAAUUCUGUUAAAUAUAA